CCCGAGGUGCAACCAUACUAGGUCUCCUUUCUGGAAAUUAGCCUCCACUCGAUAUCGAUCAUGUGGCUCCUUGUACUUCUUCUGGGCUCUCUACAGCUGCUGCUCCACUUGGAUAUGCACUUGCUUGAUCCUUUCUAAGAAGCGCUGGGCUCUCACGAUGGCCCUUUCCUCCUUAGAUGUUAGCAACGUAAUGUUCACCAUAA
RNAcentral lists this long non-coding RNA (203 nucleotides) under Elaeis guineensis (African oil palm). RNAcentral's name for it is "long non-coding RNA (EGUI_LNC033340)". The record is from RNAcentral. Lineage: Eukaryota; Viridiplantae; Streptophyta; Magnoliopsida; Arecales; Arecaceae.